This 850-nucleotide long non-coding RNA is filed under the name Ursus maritimus (polar bear). RNAcentral describes it as "lncRNA (ENSUMAG00000014390.1)". The record is from RNAcentral. Lineage: Eukaryota; Metazoa; Chordata; Mammalia; Carnivora; Ursidae.
UGGGGAACCACGACGGACACGCUCGGACUGACGAAGGGAUGUCACGCACAGGACCGCCGUUGUGCUCGCACAGAGGAGUGGAGACCAGCGCUGUCCCGUUCCUGUGAUUUUAGAGACUGGUGAACUGAGGGACGUGACCUAGCAUCCAGUAUAGACCAAGACAGAAAGCAUCAGUGCCACCCUGCCUGGUCAGGAAGACCUGCGGCUGCUCCAAGUAUUGGGAUGCUUCUACCUCGAGGCUCGGCAGCAGCGGGUGAGGACGUGCAAGGAAGGGUCCACACGCCUGGUAUUCUUCUGGAGAAUUCAGAACCCUCACCCAGCUGCACAGAGGGAGCUCAGCCUUUCUUCCAGCCCUGCCUUCCCCUUCCGCCUCUGCCUCUGCUUUCUGGACGGGCUCCUGCUGGCCAGUGCAUGGGACGUGCGGGGGACCAGCCAAGGGAGAGCGUCUCUCCGCCCACCAGCGCCCUGAGCGCACUGUCCGGCUCUCGGGUGUCCUGGCAGAAGCCUGGCGGUGGAAUGCAGGUCAUCAGCUCAGAGCCUCCCUGCAGUGUGACCAGCGUUCCCACCGAGCGAUUUAACCAAUGCAAGAGGAGAGAAGGAGGAAAUGUCCGGGAAGAGCUCUGGAGGCUCGUGCACCUUCGACCCAGAGCAGUCGCUCACCGGCUAAGUGUGCCUUUGGGGGAAAUGACUAUCUUUCUGUAGAGAGGAAGCCGUGGGCUGAGUGACCUUGGAGGUCUUCCAUACCCAUGGUGACCCGAGUCAGGAAGAAACACAGAAGCAGCAAACUGCCAUCCGAGGGCCACGUCUGGCUCCCGGCUCAUCUUUGUAAAUAAAGUUUUAUUGGAAUACA